CCUACGGGUGGCAGCAGUGAGGAAUAUUGGUCAAUGGGAGAGAUCCUGAACCAGCCAAGCCGCGUGAGGGAAGACGGCCCUAUGGGUUGUAAACCUCUUUUGUCGGAGAACAAAACCCGGGACGUGUCCCGGACUGCGUGUAUCCGAAGAAAAAGCAUCGGCUAACUCCGUGCCAGCAGCCGCGGUAAUACGUAGGGGGCAAGCGUUAUCCGGAUUUACUGGGUGUAAGGGGGGCGCAGACGGCGAGGCAAGCCAGGAGUGAAAGCCCGGGGCCCAACCCCGGGACUGCUCUUGGAACUGCGAGGCUAGAGUGCAGGAGUGGCAGGCGGAAUUCCUGGUGUAGCGGUGAAAUGCGUAGAUAUCAGGAGGAACACCGGUGGCGAAGGCGGCCUGCUGGACUGCAACUGACGUUGAGGCCCGAAAGCGUGGGGAGCAAACAGGAUUAGAUACCCCUGUAGUC
RNAcentral lists this ribosomal RNA (460 nucleotides) under uncultured bacterium. RNAcentral's name for it is "partial 16S ribosomal RNA". It matches the Rfam family "Bacterial small subunit ribosomal RNA", at positions 338 to 795 of the family's 1533-position model. The record is from RNAcentral.